GAAACCAUAAAGAGCCACAGAAAAUUAAAGUACCUCCUAUCAUCAAAAUGUGGUUGCAAGGCAUUCACACCACACGGUAUAAUUGACUUGAAUGACAUUACACGCCAUUGAUUAGCGGAACUAUAUAUUCAAUGGGGAAUUGUUGAAGUUAUUUAUGUUAUACACUCUUUCUAAUUUAUAUUUACCAGCAGGCAUGGGGGGAAGAAGGAGGAAUGGGAAGAAGGGCCAAGGUAUCAAGAGACACCAUGGAUAUGAACAACGUAAGCCAGCACUACAAAGCGGAGAGUCACAACUACCAGAAGCUGAGACCACUGAAGGCAGAGGGACUGGUACCUGAGAUGUAGAAUAUGUGAAAUUCCCACUGAUAUGAGACAGAACUGUGCCUCAAUCCCUGCAAGCAAGAGACUGUAAAAUGACUUGACCUGUGAGUCAUGAAGUUAACAGGGCAAACACAAGGCACAGAACAGACGUGGCUGGUUCCUCAGUCUGCUGUUAUGCAGCAUAUGACGCUGCCAGCCUUCACACUGCCUGCCUUUCCUUUUGGCUUAAUAGCCAAGACUUUUUGGUGAGGCUUCUUUUUGUGGACUGCAAUAAAAGAGA
Long non-coding RNA from Oxyura jamaicensis (ruddy duck), 600 nucleotides. RefSeq lists it as uncharacterized. The transcript has 2 exons. Lineage: Eukaryota; Metazoa; Chordata; Aves; Anseriformes; Anatidae. The record is from RefSeq and is a predicted model, not a curated record.